This 299-nucleotide ribosomal RNA is filed under the name Pseudomonas sp. BC1_TSA1B3. Its description in RNAcentral is "partial 16S ribosomal RNA". It matches the Rfam family "Bacterial small subunit ribosomal RNA", at positions 1074 to 1372 of the family's 1533-position model. Lineage: Bacteria; Pseudomonadati; Pseudomonadota; Gammaproteobacteria; Pseudomonadales; Pseudomonadaceae. The record is from RNAcentral.
GUUGGGUUAAGUCCCGUAACGAGCGCAACCCUUGUCCUUAGUUACCAGCACGUCAUGGUGGGCACUCUAAGGAGACUGGCGGUGACAAACCGGAGGAAGGGGGGGAUGACGUCAAGUCAUCAUGGCCCUUACGGCCUGGGCUACACACGUGCUACAAUGGUCGGUACAGAGGGUUGCCAAGCCGCGAGGUGGAGCUAAUCCCAGAAAACCGAUCGUAGUCCGGAUCGCAGUCUGCAACUCGACUGCGUGAAGUCGGAAUCGCUAGUAAUCGCGAAUCAGAAUGUCGCGGUGAAUACGUU